UACGAAGGGGGCUAGCGUUGCUCGGAAUCACUGGGCGUAAAGCGCGCGUAGGCGGCCUUCUAAGUCAGACGUGAAAUCCCCCGGCUUAACCUGGGAACUGCGUCUGAUACUGGGAGGCUAGAGUAUGGGAGAGGGAUGUAGAAUUCCAGGUGUAGCGGUGAAAUGCGUAGAUAUCUGGAGGAAUACCGGUGGCGAAGGCGGCAUCCUGGACCAUUACUGACGCUGAGGCGCGAAAGCUAGGGGAGCAAACGGG
RNAcentral lists this ribosomal RNA (253 nucleotides) under uncultured bacterium. RNAcentral's name for it is "partial 16S ribosomal RNA". It matches the Rfam family "Bacterial small subunit ribosomal RNA", at positions 524 to 776 of the family's 1533-position model. The record is from RNAcentral.